This 426-nucleotide ribosomal RNA is filed under the name uncultured bacterium. Its description in RNAcentral is "bacterial SSU rRNA". It matches the Rfam family "Bacterial small subunit ribosomal RNA", at positions 355 to 772 of the family's 1533-position model. The record is from RNAcentral.
UGGGGAAUUGUUCGCAAUGGGCGCAAGCCUGACGACGCAACGCCGCGUGGGGGAUGAAGGUCUUCGGAUUGUAAACCCCUGUUGGGUGGGACGAACAUUCCCGUGGUGAACAUCCACGGGAGCUGACGGUACCACCUGAGGAAGCCCCGGCUAACUCUGUGCCAGCAGCCGCGGUAAUACGUAGGGACCAAGCGUUGUUCGGAUUUACUGGGCGUAAAGGGCGCGUAGGCGGCAAUUCAAGUCAGCUGUGAAAUCUCCGGGCUUAACUCGGAACGGUCAGCUGAUACUGCUUUGCUAGAGUGCAGAAGGGGCAAUCGGAAUUCUUGGUGUAGCGGUGAAAUGCGUAGAUAUCAAGAGGAACACCUGAGGUGAAGACGGGUUGCUGGGCUGACACUGACGCUGAGGCGCGAAAGCUAGGGUAGCAAA